GUAGAUAUCAUGCAUUAUAUACAUCUAUGUACUUUAGAUAUAAUAUAUGAUAGCUUUUUAGGUCGUGAUCUUGAUUUGCAGAACAAUCCCGAAUGCAAACUUGAUGAAUAUAUGUCAGAGUAAUAAAAUAAAAAGAAUAUUUUAAUAUU
Molecule: long non-coding RNA, 149 nt
Filed under: Polistes fuscatus (common paper wasp)
Lineage: Eukaryota; Metazoa; Arthropoda; Insecta; Hymenoptera; Vespidae
Description: uncharacterized LOC122520508
Source: RNAcentral